Molecule: ribosomal RNA, 391 nt
Filed under: uncultured bacterium
Lineage: Bacteria
Description: bacterial SSU rRNA
Rfam family: Bacterial small subunit ribosomal RNA
Source: RNAcentral
UGAACGCUGGCGGUCUGCUUAACACAUGCAAGUCGAACGGAGUAGAAAUACUUAGUGGCGGACGGGUGAGUAACGCGUGAGAAUCUGCCUUCAGGACGGAGACAACAGUUGGAAACGACUGCUAAGCCCCGAUGAACCAAGGGAAAUAUUUAUAGCCUGAAGAUGAGCUCGCGUCCGAUUAGCUAGUUGGCGGAGUAAAAGCCCACCAAGGCGACGAUCGGUAGCUGGUCUGAGAGGACGAUCGGCCACACUGGGACUGAGACACGGCCCAGACUCCUACGGGAGGCAGCAGUAGGGAAUCUUCCGCAAUGGACGAAAGUCUGACGGAGCAACGCCGCGUGAGUGAUGAAGGGUUUCGGCUCGUAAAACUCUGUUGUUAAGGAAGAAUACU